RNA transcript from Populus nigra (black poplar), 3523 nucleotides. It is a transcript of the gene named protein TRANSPORT INHIBITOR RESPONSE 1-like, with no coding region annotated. The transcript has 5 exons. Lineage: Eukaryota; Viridiplantae; Streptophyta; Magnoliopsida; Malpighiales; Salicaceae. The record is from RefSeq and is a predicted model, not a curated record.
AGCAGUAAGCGAUACCACGGUACAAAAUAGGGUCAGAAGAAACCAACCAGAGAGUGAUUCCAAAUCUCCAAUUAUUUCCCUCUUCAAUCCCCUCUCCAAUCCCAACUUCAUCCUCACUGCAUUCUCCCUUCAGAUUUUGCAGAAAAAAAAGUAAUUAUCAUCUUGUCAUCUCCAUCUUUCAAAAUUUUCCCAAUGGGCCUGCAGAAAAUUUUUCAAUAGUAUAACGCCCUCUUUUUCCUUGUUUUCAUCUCCAUCUUUCAAAUUUCAAAAUGGGAUUUGAUGAAAAUAAUUUGUUUUCAUGAAAAAUCUUCCACCAUCUUAAAUACCGAGACUGAGUUCUGAGUUUUUACUUUGAUGGGUCCAAAUCCAAAGAUGAAAAGGGAAUUUCUUGACUCAACAAGGUCAUCACCAUUCCCAGAUGAAGUACUGGAACGAGUUCUUUCACUCUUGAAAUCACACAAAGAUCGUAGCGCAGUGUCUUUAGUAUGCAAGGACUGGUACAACGCAGAAAGCUGGUCAAGAACUCAUGUUUUUAUAGGAAACUGUUAUUCAGUCUCUCCUGAAAUUGUUGCACGUAGAUUUCCAAUAAUUAAGAGUGUUACUCUUAAAGGGAAGCCAAGAUUUUCUGAUUUUAAUCUAGUGCCUGAAAACUGGGGAGCUGAUGUUCAUCCUUGGCUUGUAGUUUUUGCAACGAAGUAUCCGUUUUUGGAAGAGCUUAGGCUUAAGAGAAUGGCUGUUAGUGAUGAAAGUUUGGAGUUUUUGGCUGUUAAUUUUCCUAAUUUUAAGAUUCUUUCUCUGUUGAGCUGUGAUGGGUUUAGUACUGAUGGGCUUGCUGCUAUUGCCACUCAUUGCAAGAGUUUGACUCAGCUUGACAUACAAGAGAAUGGCAUUGAUGACAAGAGUGGUGGUUGGUUAAGCUGCUUCCCUGAAAACUUCACAUCAUUGGAAGUACUAAACUUUGCCAAUCUGAAUACUGAUGUCAAUUUCGAUGCACUUGAGAGACUUGUAAGUAGGUGCAAGUCACUAAAGGUUCUGAAGGUCAACAAAAGUAUUUCUUUGGAACACCUACAAAGGCUGUUAGUUUCUGCUCCACAAUUAACAGAGCUUGGCACUGGUUCAUUCACACCAGAGCUCACAACUCGGCAGUAUGCGGAGCUUGAAAGUGCAUUUAACCAGUGCAAGAGUUUACAUACCCUUUCAGGUUUAUGGGAGGCAACAGCACUAUAUCUACCAGUUCUGUACCCUGUCUGCUCAAACUUGACUUUCUUAAACCUGAGCUAUACUUUUCUGCAAAGUCUUGAACUUGCUAGUCUUCUCCGUCAAUGUCCACGACUUAGACGCCUCUGGGUCCUGGACACUGUGGGGGACAAAGGGCUGGAGGCUGUUGGAUCCAACUGUCCAUUGCUUGAGGAGCUCCGUGUCUUCCCCGCUGAUCCCUUUGAUGAGGAAAUUAUCCACGGGGUGACUGAAGCAGGGUUUGUUGCUGUCUCUUAUGGAUGUCGAAGACUCCACUAUGUUCUCUACUUUUGCCGGCAGAUGACUAAUGCUGCAGUAGCAACCAUUGUGCAGAACUGCCCUGAUUUCACCCACUUUCGUCUUUGCAUAAUGAAUCCAGGCCAACCGGAUUACUUGACAAAUGAACCUAUGGACGAGGCAUUUGGGGCAGUGGUAAGGACUUGCACUAAACUACAGAGGCUUUCUGUUUCAGGUCUCUUGACAGACCUGACAUUUGAAUAUAUUGGGCAGUAUGCCAAAAAUCUGGAAACUCUGUCUGUGGCUUUUGCGGGCAGUAGUGAUAGGGGGAUGCAGUGUGUGCUAGAAGGUUGUCCAAAGUUGAGGAAACUUGAGAUAAGGGACUGUCCAUUUGGAAAUGCAGCACUUCUUUCAGGUUUGGAGAAGUAUGAGUCUAUGAGGUCACUUUGGAUGUCAGCCUGCAAUGUGACAAUGAAUGGCUGUCGGUUAUUGGCAAGGGAGAUGCCCAGAUUGAAUGUUGAAGUAAUGAAAGAGGAUGGAAGUGAUGACUCUCAGGCUGAUAAAGUUUAUGUUUACCGUUCUGUUGUGGGGCCAAGAAGGGAUGCUCCACCUUGUGUACUCACUCUCUCAGGUUUAUAAAAUAUGCAGGAUCUUGUUUAAAUAACAAGACAAGCCACGGCGUGCAGGGAUUGGGACACAGUUUAUACAACUGGAUGAUGUGGAUGGUUAAAAAGAAGAAAGAUGGACCGCAUGAAACUUGUAUUUGUUCUUCUACUGCUGUUUCCCUUACUGACACAGCAAAUAUGAAAAUAUGGAAGCUAAAUAUACUACAAAGCUUAUGCAUCAACAAUCUCCAGGGCUGGAUACAACUUCUCUUCCCAAACCUUUGAAAAGCAAGAUUGCAAGGUUUCCUAUGCUGAAAUGGAUGAAGCAGCCAUGGUAAUGGGUCACAAAUGAACCAAAAUCCAUCCCCACAAUGCAUUGCCAUCCUGGUCCAUGCACCCUGUCAAAGUCCUGCAAAAACAAGAAUCCCCAAAAUUGGCUUUCUUCAAUUAUUUAAUUCCAAAUAAUCAUCUAGUUACUUUCCAGGAGGUUACCUUCUUUAUGAAGCGGGCAAUAUCAGUGGACUCGGUAACAUCAAAGAUAUCAAGGGCCUUCGCAGCUAAGUGAAGUGCAUCCUGCUGCAUGGUUUGAAGCAUGUCAGUCUCGCCAACAACAGCUUUGCCUUCUAACAUGGUUGAAGGAUGCUUUGUUACUGGGUAUGGCAGAAGAGUUGAAAAGAGAAAGCAGUGGUGUUAGAGGUAUGGCUUCUGCAAGGAUUUUAUAGACCUGUUGACAAAGGAGUGGCCAGUGGGUGCUGGUGCUUAGUCCUACACUGUGUUGGCAGGUUGCAUCAACUGGUGCAAUAGAAGAAUGCCAAGUAUGGCAGACAUAGUCUGCUGGGGCCUGAUGCAUAUCGGUGAUUUGAUCUGGGACCAAUUCUGAUCAAUGGCUCAUGGUUGCUUAGUGUGGAAGGGGUUGUUCUUUGUAGGUCCACGUUAUCUUUGAGAUGUUGGAUGUUUGUGGUUGUAUGACUAGUAUUUGCCAUGAUUUUGCUGGAGAAUGUUGAAAGGUAUUCUUUCCUAUGAAUUUGGGACUUGGACUUGCUGAACGGGGUAGCUUUCCGUGCCAAACUUAUUCCAUUCCUUGCCUUACAGGUUCUCUUACCAACACUGCACAAAAAUUCUUGGGUCCAAACUAUAGGGGUUGCUACAGUGCCUGUAUUUUGGCACAGGCACAGUGCCUGAUUGUCUUGUGCACCCUACGCCACCGUUCCUGAUUUUGUAUGCAAAUCCGGUGGCCUAGAUCGGCACUAGCCCAAAUCGAAGGCAUUUUAGACCCACCCUAUUACAUGUCCCAGUAAAACUUGCAAGAAUAUUUUUCAUGCUGUAAAUUAUAGGCCUUGGCUUUUAGCCUUUAAUGUUUCGGAUUCAAAGCUUUCUGAAAGCUUCGAUAUCAUUUUGUGUCUGUUUUAUUUUCUAAAGGAAUGAUGACUUCGUAGUGGUUUCCA